Molecule: long non-coding RNA, 1449 nt
Organism: Triticum aestivum (bread wheat)
Lineage: Eukaryota; Viridiplantae; Streptophyta; Magnoliopsida; Poales; Poaceae
Exons: 7
Source: RefSeq, a predicted model, not a curated record
GCUAUCUCACCCUGGCCACGCAAACCUAAACCUAAACCUAAAUCGCCCACCAGCCGCCGCCACCCUUCAUUUCCGUCGAUUCGGUCAUGCCACUGCGCGUCCCACCGUCGCGCGUGCCACCCGAAGCUCCCGUCCAGCCCGUGGUGCAGCCCCACCAGCAGCAGCCUGAGGUGACGCCCCAUCGUCAGCUCAUCCCACGACCGAUGCCGCAUCUGCCGAUUCGGUCACGCCGCUGCGCCUCCACCGCCGGCGGCGCCACGCCACCACCGGAAGCUCUUGCCCAGCCCAUGGUGCAUCCCGACGUGUCGCCCUGGCGACGGCCGACCUGCUUACCAAUUUGCGCCGUUGCUUCUCCAACUGCCGUUAGUGGCCCCCAAAGCUUCCUUCCACCGCGUGGUGCUUCCAUCCACAGCCAAGGAGCCGCACAACCCCCUGCAUCCCGAGGUGCCACCCAGCCGUCCCUCUUCCACCUCGGGUGAUGGAUCUCCUAUUCCCCCUUGUCAUGCCCUCCUUUGCAUCUAACCGUUGCAUCCUGUAGUGUCUUCAAUUGAAUCUAUGUACAGAGGGAAAACUCCACAAGAGGCUUCUGAAGCUUGGUCAACGCCUUCAUGAGGACCAACCUAUAACUCGUAUGUGUCGCUGGAUAAGGCCAUGUCUUUCGUGGGUGGUGCUUGGCUGAUUUGUACAUGGAUACUAUUAAAGAAUGGUACAAACAUAUAUGGAAUAUGAAAGGUUGAUCCAAGCCAGCUUCAGGAGCUCAAGGCAUACAGGAAGACCGAGGAGGAGGGGAUGAACACACUUUUAAACCACUACCUCCAUUUCUGUGCAGUUUCUCUCAAGAUGCAAGCUGAAAUGCUGGUGAUCGAGAAGAACAGUCCUGCGAAUGGCAUCAUCAAGCUCAUCGAGCAACAUCACAUCACAAACCAUGUCAUGGGAACAUCUUCCUUCUCACCGUGUGGCCAGACCAAAUACAGCUUCGUAACAAGGUUUCAUCGAUAAACAUGCACAUCAAAAUUUCCCGCGGACUUCUAUAUAUAUUUAGGCACUAAGAUGUGGUAAAUCAUGAUGGCACACUAUCAACUUAUAUAAGGUCCUCGAGGGUAAAAGCAAGUAAUGAACAAGUGACAAUGGCACGUCCACAUGUUGAUUCAAGAUGUUCUGAUGAUCGGUUUUGUUCAUAACAUGUUUGACACAUUUUGUGGAUAUGGAAGUUGAUGUCAGCUCGGUGAUCGAAGAGAUUUGGUCUCUUCCUUAAUAUCUUGUAGUAGUCAAGUGAUCGAACAAUUGGGUCUCUUAGGAGCUUAGCCAUCAUAUUUUGUAAUAGACCACGUCUUUUAUGUCGACUUACUUAUUUCCUUAUUGGUUGUAGCUGACUUGAGUGUAGCAAACUAAUGAAUCUUGUAUACAUGCUUGAAUGAAUGUAUUAAUCAAAUGGUAUCUUGUGAUGAA